Non-coding RNA from Kuraishia capsulata CBS 1993, 73 nucleotides. Lineage: Eukaryota; Fungi; Ascomycota; Pichiomycetes; Pichiales; Pichiaceae. The record is from Rfam.
GCCCGAGUAGCGUAAUGGUUAGCGCGUUGCUCUCCGGAGGCAAAGAUUGCGGGUUCGAGUCCCGCCUUGGGCU